This 212-nucleotide ribosomal RNA is filed under the name uncultured Syntrophaceae bacterium. Its description in RNAcentral is "partial 16S ribosomal RNA". It matches the Rfam family "Bacterial small subunit ribosomal RNA", at positions 1171 to 1382 of the family's 1533-position model. Lineage: Bacteria; Pseudomonadati; Thermodesulfobacteriota; Syntrophia; Syntrophales; Syntrophaceae. The record is from RNAcentral.
AAGUGGGGAUGACGUCAAGUCCUCAUGGCCUUUAUGCCCAGGGCUACACACGUGCUACAAUGGGCGGUACAAAGAGAAGCAACCUCGCGAGGGUGAGCAAAUCUCAAAAAGCCGUUCUCAGUUCGGAUUGAAGUCUGCAACUCGACUUCAUGAAGUCGGAAUCGCUAGUAAUCGCGGAUCAGCAUGCCGCGGUGAAUACGUUCCCGGGCCUU